RNAcentral lists this unclassified non-coding RNA (689 nucleotides) under Hevea brasiliensis (rubber tree). Lineage: Eukaryota; Viridiplantae; Streptophyta; Magnoliopsida; Malpighiales; Euphorbiaceae. The record is from RNAcentral.
GUCAAAACUCUUGACAUCAAAAUAUGAAACUUAACGAUCGACAAAAACCAGAGAUAUGUAGGCAACUUAAAACACAUCACGACGUGCAAGAUGAAACCUUGCGCGUAGCUAUAAAAAUGGUGAGUUUACGCGGUUAAAAGAGUCUUGAACAUUUUCUCUCCAAUUCCAUCAAUCAUUGGAAUCAAAUGACCAGCACCUGGAAUUUCAUGAUAUUGGAUCCAUGGUAAUUGCUGUGAAAUGUACCUUUGUAGUGUGACGGGCGAGAGCCUAUCCUCAUCGCCUUGCCAUAAGUGAACGGAACCUUCAUUGUUAGGGAACGGGUUCUCAAGAUCCAUUGGAUCGAAUUCCCAUGUUCCAAAUCCAAUCAUUAAGUCGCGGUGGAGGGAUUCAUAUUCUCCUUGUUGUCUUACCUGUGCACGAUAGUCUUGGCUCGAACUUUGCUUGGAAACUAGCUCUAGGUCCUUUGAAGAGAAAAUUGCAGGGUUGCGACCUGCAGCACUGCAUGAAGGAAAGAACUUCUGAGUGUUCCACCAAUAAGUGAGCCACGGAAGGUAAUGAGCAACACGAAGAGUCCAUUUGUCUUGAGGAAGUCGAAGGUUGAAUGCUUCUUGGGACAUAUUAACAGGAAACCUAGGCCACCAAUAGUUGACAACUGGUGCAAUAAGAGCAGCACCUGCCAACCUGUGAGG